Molecule: unclassified non-coding RNA, 910 nt
Filed under: Hevea brasiliensis (rubber tree)
Lineage: Eukaryota; Viridiplantae; Streptophyta; Magnoliopsida; Malpighiales; Euphorbiaceae
Source: RNAcentral
UCUGAUCGAGAGCGAGCCUUCCUUCCGCCGGUCGAGGUCACUAGCAAUUCCAUUUCUCCGGUCAAAGCCACCGAUUGACUCUGAUAGCUCUAUCCGCAAAGAAAGCCCAAAGACGACAUCUCCGUUUUGGUCACUGUUCAAAACUAGCAGUAGUAGCGGUAACAGGAGUAAGAGAGGCGAUGUGGAGAGAAACUUUGCUAUUUUACAACAAGAAGAUGGGAAAAAGAAGAAGGAAGAAGAUGAGAGGAGGAGGAUGAUGCGGAAAUCGAGGUCUAUGGCGGUUGGUGUGACGUCAGCUUCCGGUGUUGCUGACGUAAAAUCAUCCAAAGCGAAGGGCUGGUAUUUUCCGAGUCCGAUCAAGGCGUUCAGGCAAUCGAUUUCAAGGGGAAUAAUGGUGCAACAAAGGUCACCUUUGUAUAGAAAUUAAUUUUUGUAUAUAUUACAAGAAAAAAUAUAUAAUUAACUGAUAAACAAACUAAUUAUUAUAUUUAUCUUUUUUCCCAUUUUUUUUAAAAAAAUUUCUUGGAAAUGAAUGGUUGAAGAAGGAGAAGGAAUUGAUUUUCUAUAGAUUUUGCGGAUUUAACUUAAAAUUGAAUGAUGUGAAAGCAUAAUUGGUUAUAUAAUUAGGGUACAAAAGCUAGAUUGGAAAUCUUGGAGUGUUACAGUUAACUGCUUCAUAAUUCAGGAAGAAUUCCAGAUAUCUGGACUUUGGACCCACUUGAUGUGGUUUGAAAAUAAAAUUCUGCAAGCGUAACUUGUAGAAUUCUCAAGUACCAGGACAGAAUAAUACUUUGGUUGAGUUGUAGAUUGAAGAAUUUAGGUCGGUAGGGCUGCUAGGCCGUGUGUGUCUAUUUUUAUUUGCAAUUUGUAAUGUUGUAUUUGAAAUAAGAUAAAAAAAAUUAUAUUUUAA